UGCUCAGCAGAAACCCCCAGGCCCAUUGUAACCAUGUGUCCUUCUGGCUCCCUUCUGGGCAGGCCGCCCAGCUACUGGGAUUUGCAACGAUCUGGGCCUGGCCAGCCCCCAUUCCCCCUUAUCCCACGAGAAGAACAUCCUGUCUUACGGGGACACAGAGCUCCUCCAUGUGAGCUACUGUUCCUGGAACGCUAGUCGUACCAAGGACAGCCCUUUGGCAGGCAUGCAGCCUUCCUUCCUCUGCCUGCUUAAGCAAGCUUCUCUUAGGGGGCUGUUGCGGGCGUAUGCAUACUUCCAUCCAGCCGGCUGCCCACUGGACACUCUCCCUACAAGGAGGUGGCAACAGAAGGAAGCCUAGAGCUGUACUCAGGUCUUGCUCUGCAAGCACAGAAGAAGGCAGCCAUCCAUCAGAAGAAGCGCGGGGACACGCUGCACGAGACCAUCCCUUUGAUUAAAGGAAGCAGCUUUCUUCUGGGACCCAGAGUGGGGUAGCCAAGACCAGACUCUUCUACCCGAACAACUCUUCCCUCUAAUGUUGGAGGCGUGUAGUUACAGGCAUCUCCUUUUGUCCCUGGGCAAGUGCCUGAGAUGCUAAGAUUUGGCUCUGAGCCCAACCACGUGUAAAUAUAAUAAAAGAGGGGAUAGGUGAGCAAAAUGGAUGAAGGGGGUCAAAAGGUACAAACUUCCAGUUAUAAAAUAACUAAGUGAUGGAGAUGUCAUGUACAGCAUGGUGACUAUAGUUAAUAAUACUGUAUUGCAUGUUUGAAAGUUGCUAAGAAUGUAAAUGUUAAACUUUUUCAUCAAAAGAAAAAUAAAUUG
This 819-nucleotide long non-coding RNA is filed under the name Equus caballus (horse). Its description in RNAcentral is "lncRNA (ENSECAG00000046552.1)". Lineage: Eukaryota; Metazoa; Chordata; Mammalia; Perissodactyla; Equidae. The record is from RNAcentral.